RNAcentral lists this ribosomal RNA (254 nucleotides) under uncultured bacterium. Its description in RNAcentral is "partial 16S ribosomal RNA". It matches the Rfam family "Bacterial small subunit ribosomal RNA", at positions 524 to 776 of the family's 1533-position model. The record is from RNAcentral.
UACGUAGGGUGCAAGCGUUGUCCGGAAUUAUUGGGCGUAAAGAGCUCGUAGGCGGUCUGUCGCGUCGAUCGUGAAAACUUGGGGCUUAACCCUGAGCUUGCGGUCGAUACGGGCAUCACUGGAGUUCGGCAGGGGAGACUGGAAUUCCUGGUGUAGCGGUGAAAUGCGCAGAUAUCAGGAGGAACACCGGUGGCGAAGGCGGGUCUCUGGGCCGAUACUGACGCUGAGGAGCGAAAGCGUGGGGAGCGAACAGG